This is a non-coding RNA of Parelaphostrongylus tenuis, 74 nucleotides long. The record is from the annotation of a GenBank genome assembly. Lineage: Eukaryota; Metazoa; Nematoda; Chromadorea; Rhabditida; Metastrongylidae.
GCGUCGAUGGUGCAACGGUUAGAGCACGCGCCUGCGGAUGGGGUGAGAUGCGGGUUCGAAUCCCGCCUGACGCA